GGACGAAAAUGUCAAAUGUAUUUAUUCAUAAAACAAAACAAACAAAUUCGAUAGCAACUAAUAUUUUAUUUUACCAGUUCUUCAUACCUAUAUAGGUUUGUUUUUUAAUCGUUUGUGCUAAAACAAGAUGAGAAAUCGAUGCCAUGACCGCAAAGCGCAAACCAUCCGAAACCAUAUUUUGCUCUCGGUACAGCCUUCGCUGUGAAUAUUCUAAAACGGAUGGACACAAGGGUGGACAACGGAAGUGCGAAGUGGCUGUGAUGUGUUUGCUGGCCAAAUGAAAUACCCAUUAUGCUUGCCAAGUUUGAGAAAAGGAAAAAAUACCCAACGCGCCUAUAGGCACCAGAGUGCUUGACGCAUAUCGGUAUGAAACUAAAUGGAAUCUUUCUGUCUGAUUAAGUAAUAAAAUUCUUGAACAAAAACGGAUGCAAAAUGGAUUUGGAACGGAUGAAUGGUCCACGGUAAAUAUGGAUAAUUUUACAGCUGCAAAUGUAAUCCAGACCAGGCGAUUUUUACCAGUUUCGAUGUAUUCCGUUCUGGUGAUCAUCGAAGGAACAAAGCAUUACGUGACAUUUGAAGGCAACCACAGAAAAACGAAGCCAAAUUUGUUAUCGUUGAUGCGAUGGGUCCUGGUCAACCAGAAAAGAGGUCAAGCGAAAUAUAGCUAAAGAGCCCCGCACAUAGCAUACGUUUGCGUUGCGUUUGACAGUUUUCCCAUGGGAAAUGUGUCAAACGCAACGCAAACGUAUCCUAUGUGCGGGGGUCUUAAGAAGAAGAAGCUAUCGACGAACGAGUGUAUGUAGAUUUAUAAUAUUGAAGUUGUAGGUAUUAUUUGUUAUAGCUGAGUGAGCGGAAUACAUAAAAUGUCUGUGAUGAAUCAAUUCUGGGAAUCAAUAAAUAUGCUUUUGUCUUACUCGUACGUCAAGUGUGUGUAAAGCCUAUACAUAACCACUU
This is a long non-coding RNA of Armigeres subalbatus, 954 nucleotides long. RefSeq lists it as uncharacterized. Lineage: Eukaryota; Metazoa; Arthropoda; Insecta; Diptera; Culicidae. The record is from RefSeq and is a predicted model, not a curated record. The transcript has 3 exons.